RNAcentral lists this unclassified non-coding RNA (336 nucleotides) under soil metagenome. RNAcentral's name for it is "partial contains 5.8S ribosomal RNA, internal transcribed spacer 2, and large subunit ribosomal RNA". The stretch from base 1 to 120 matches the Rfam family "5.8S ribosomal RNA", at positions 35 to 154 of the family's 154-position model. The record is from RNAcentral.
GAUGAAGAACGUAGCGAAAUGCGAUAAGUAAUGUGAAUUGCAGAAUUCAGUGAAUCAUCGAAUCUUUGAACGCACAUUGCGCCCGCCAGUAUUCUGGCGGGCAUGCCUGUUCGAGCGUCAUUUCAACCAUCAAGCCCCAGGCUUGUGUUGGGGACCUGCGGCUGCCGCAGGCCCUGAAAACCAGUGGCGGGCUCGCUGUCACACCGGGCGUAGUAGAUUUUAUCUCGCUCAGGGCGUGNUGCGGGUUCCGGCCGUUAAAAAGCCUUUUUUACCCAAGGUUGACCUCGGAUCAGGUAGGAAGACCCGCUGAACUUAAGCAUAUCAAUAAGCGGAGGA